UGUCCGGGCAACAUCAGCAGUGUUCCAAAAAAAAAACGACAAUUAUACUAACUUAAAAAAAAAUAUAUGAGAAAAAUUACAAUCAAAAACAGCUACACAGUUCCAAAUUUUAAACAAAGUGUGUCGGGUUAAGUAACAAGGUUGCUCGAAAAACGCGUGCUCUUGCUUUUUCUUGGCUGUUCGUUUGUGCUUGCUCCCGGUUUUCCCACUUUCCCCGGGAGGUAUGACGACCCCACAACGCGACAAAGAUUUAGAGACGAUCCGCAUGUGCUUGGAGAUCCACACAAUAAAAAACAAACUAAACCAUCGAUUUGAUGGCCAAAAUGCUGAAGAACUUCGAGUUGGCGGAAGGCCUCUUCCAAGGUUUAAGACGGCAACUCUUUAGUCCAAAAAACAAAGGAAGUCCAAGUCAACCGUAGAAAGGGAUCCCGUCUUUGGAAAACUCCUCAACUCGACAGUGGAGAUCAGGCCUAUUGGAUUGUGGAUAACACCCUGCGCUUGCACAUUUCCAUAAGCUUAGGCCUUAGUGGUACGCUACUUUAAGCGCCCAGGACUUCUUGGUCACUUUGAGGGCUAAGAAGCCCUUGGGCUCAGGGUGGCGUACAACUAAGGCUAGAGAUUGUGGAAAUAUCGCAGGCAUGUCCGAGGACAUGAUGGAUGUGGACGAGAUGUGCAAGAUCUAAAAGGCUUGGAGGACUGUUAAAUCCAUCAAAUCAAAAAUCAAGGACCGUUUAAUAAAAAUACAACAUAAUUAAGGACUAAAUAAAUUAGAGUGAAACUAUU
Long non-coding RNA from Drosophila takahashii, 783 nucleotides. RefSeq lists it as uncharacterized. The record is from RefSeq and is a predicted model, not a curated record. NCBI's taxonomy places the organism in Eukaryota, Metazoa, Arthropoda, Insecta, Diptera, Drosophilidae.